Aotus nancymaae (Ma's night monkey) is the source of this 104-nucleotide small nuclear RNA. The record is from Ensembl. Lineage: Eukaryota; Metazoa; Chordata; Mammalia; Primates; Aotidae.
ACGCUUCCUUCAGCAGCACAUAUACUAAAAUUGCAAUGACACAGAAAUUAGCAUGGCCCCUGAGCAAGGAGAAUAUGUGAAUUCGUGAAGUGUUCCAUAUAUCU